This is a long non-coding RNA of Suricata suricatta (meerkat), 289 nucleotides long. RefSeq lists it as uncharacterized. The transcript has 2 exons. Lineage: Eukaryota; Metazoa; Chordata; Mammalia; Carnivora; Herpestidae. The record is from RefSeq and is a predicted model, not a curated record.
GACCUCGACCUCAGCUAGGAAGUGUGGAGCCCAGGCGGAGGGCUGGGAGUGAGUGCGGGGUGCUUGUGGGGUGUGUGCAGAAUUCACGGAAGGCAACGACAGGAAAGCAAAAGUGACUCACCAGACAAUAGAGAAGUUAGGAGGACCUGGGCCCUGGACGUGUGCAUAAGAAGGGAACAACAGCCACUAAAGACAGCUUGCAGUUGCCAGCCUUUCUUCUUUUCCUAUAUCAACACUGGAACGGCUAACCUCUUGUUUCACCAAGCAAGCAAAAAUGAAAAGAAAAAAA